CCUUGCCACGGUUGCUACAGCAACCACCGCUUUUGGAGCCCGGGGAGAUGUUUCUCUGGACUUUCCGCCGCUGCUGCUCAGGACAGCCGCCUGUCGCCAAGGGUCGGAGCCGCUCCACAAGUUUCCAUCUGCUUAGGGACUGGCCCUACAUCUGCUGAGAAGUUUCUCCCGGCGUUUCAGCAGCAUUUACUCCUUUAGGAGAAAAAUACCUUUCCUAGGUUUUGUUUCGUCCCCGCCCCCACUGUUGCUUGGGGAAGGAGGCAGCUUUGGAACCAUGGAUGCUCGUUUGGUCUGACACAUCACUUCUUGAGAAAGCUGAAUUUCCUCUGGAUGCUAAGGACAUCAUAUUCUUCUUGCUGGUUCUGCUCUGUCUCCUCUGUACAGUCUACUUUUACACAGCAGCUGCAGCCAGAAGAGAAGGACAGCAAAUUGGCAGACACCACAAUCACUCAGGCUGCAGAUAAACAGGAUGGAUAGCCUAACCAAUAGCAGUUUCCCCUGUCUAAAGGAAGAAAUAUAAGACCAAAUCCAGUUGCCCAGUAAGAUGACCAUGGGGAGUGUGAGGCAGAACGUUCAAGGGGAAUGUCCUUUCAACACAACAUGCCAACAAUGCUACCUGGAGUAAAUGGAUCACUCUGAUCACACAGCAAGUUCAGAUGGGAAAUCCUAAUCACCCUGGGAUCUGGGAAAUUAUCACAAACUGACCUGAGGGUGAGUGUUUCGUACUAUCAUCUGAAGAGGAAGAGGAUUAGUUGGCACAUGCUGAGGAGGCCCCACCAUAUAAGCAGCCACCAGAAAGUGAGAGGCAACACUGACAGUUCCUGCUGUAUCAUAGGGACAAGUCAGAAAUGGAAAGCUGCCAUAUUGGAGCCUAAGCAGCAAGUUGCAGAAGCUACCAAAGACAAGGUGGAUCAAGUCAAGAUGCAGAGCUGAAAACCCAUCUGGCUUUGGAUAUUGCCAAUUGAGAGAAGUGGCCAAUACUAUACCUCUAUACUGAUUUGUGGAUGGUAACAAACACUCUGUGGGGGCAGCUGGAAUGAUGGAAGAAGGCCAAUUGGCACUGAAGAAGGAAAUUUGUCCAGGCAGCAAAAAUCUGGCUAGACAUUGCUGCUAGGGUAAAGAAGUUGUCUGCAGAAGUUGGUCAUGUGGAUGCCUAGAUGCCUAUGAGUCGGGCUAACGAGGAGCAUUGCAACAACAAAUAGAUGCAUUGGGCUGCCAAAAUUAAAGGUAGAUCUAGACUGUCAA
Cyanistes caeruleus (blue tit) is the source of this 1245-nucleotide non-coding RNA. Lineage: Eukaryota; Metazoa; Chordata; Aves; Passeriformes; Paridae. The record is from RefSeq and is a predicted model, not a curated record.